GCGAGGCCCUCUCGCGCUAUGACGGCCAGUGCGGAGGCGCGGGGGCGGCGCCCAGGAGUCGGGGUAGGAGUAGUGGUGACCAGCUGCAGGCAUCCUCGCUGCGUCCUCCUGGGGAGGAGGAAAGGGUCAUUUGGAGCCGGCAAAUUCCAACUUCCUGGGGGCCACUUGGAGUUCGGUGAAAGCUGGGAAGAAUGUGCUCAAAGGGAAACCUGGGAAGAAGCAGCUCUUCACCUGAAAAAUGUUCGCUUUGCCUCGGUUGUGAAUUCUUUCGUUGAGGAAGAGAAUUACCAUUAUGUCACUAUUUUAAUGAAAGGAGAGGUGGAUGUGACUCAUGAUUCAGAACCAAAGAAUGUAGAGCCUGAGAAAAAUGAAAGUCUUAGUAGCGGCACACGGGAUCUUCACUGUGGCAUGCGGGAUCUUAGUUCCCCAACCAGGGAUCGAACCUGCGUCCCCUGAUUGGAAGGCGGAUUCUUAACCACUGGACCACCAGGGAAGUCCCUAAAGUUGUUUUCUUAAUUGCUUAUGUUUUCAAAGUUAUAUACGCACAUUGUAUAGUUUACCAUUUACAAAUCUCAUUUUCUAUUUUAUUUUAACAGACUUUUUUUUAAGAGUGUGAGAGGAGCCCAAGUGAAAUUAGUGUAUAUUCCUUGAACUUAUGAAUUUCACAGUUUUUCCUACUCCUGUUUGAUUACUCCAUAUCCUUCUGUUGCUUGCUCAUUAGUUUUACUCCCUUCCUCAACUGACAUAAUCCUUGUUUGUCCCUGGCUCCUCCCUAAAUGAUAGACAUGGGUGGCUUGAUAAGAAGAACCCAGGCAGCCUUGUAGGUGAAACUCCUCCAUGGCUUUAUCCCAAAUUUGGUUGAUUGGGAAUUCAUUGAGAUAUGUCUUUAUGCCAGUACUUAUCCAAGCAGGUGUUUUAUAGUUUCAGAAACUUAUCACAAACCUGAGGAGUUUUUUCUGUAUCUGCUACUUUUCAAUUUUUAGUAGACAAACUCAUUAGGAGCUUGUGAGGUUUUCCAUUUGUUUGUUUUAAAUUCACCAAAUUAGACAUGAAGGUCUAUUUCAAUGAAAAGAAAAAAACCAACCUGGGCCCUUAUUUAUAGUAAAAAGUAAAAAGCUAAGUUUCAUGUUAGAGGGGGAUUGCACUUACUCGGCACCCAGCAUGCUCAGUGGCAUCCAAUAAUCACUCUGUAAAUUUCUCUCUAAAAGAGUGAAUGACCAGAGCAGGAUUUAGAGCUCUUUAAGUAAGCAGUUAAUUCUUAAAUGUUUUGAGAAUUGCCUUUAAUUGAAAAAACUACUACUACUCGCAGUAUUCUCAUGAAAUGUCUAUACCUCACUCUGCCAGGAUACUGGCAAGUCUGAAAUAGCUCUUCAUGUAUUUGCUAAAUCAAGCCCCGAGGUGUCCUCUAUCCCAAGAUAGGCAAGUGCUCCUACACUGACCCUCACAACAUCCGAGCAGAGGUCUGCCCAGCGGAACAUCAUGUGAAUUCGGCCUCCCUGAGAUCCACCUGGAAGAGGCAGUUCUUCAUUAUCUGGACUGCCAGCUUUCCAGAUAAGGCAAAUAUUCCUUCAGAUGAAAUAUUCUCUUCUUGGGGGCAUCAAGGAUCAUUUAGGGAUCCUGGAGAAGGAGAGCUCAGGGAGUCAUCUGUAAGGGAGGAAACAAAGUCUUCCAACAUAAACUCAAUCAUAUAUUGAUGCUGCCUCUUUUAUUUUUAAAUUAUUUAUGUUGUACUUAGAAAUCAGUGUUGCACUUGAGUAGUGCUUGUGAAAAAUGCAAAUUAAAAAUAACAGUAGGCAUUGACUGAGAGGUGUGUACUAAGCUUUCCAUUUUAUGUACCUCAAGAAAUUGAACACGUAAGUUAAGGCCCCCCAUAAACAUUUAAUUUGCAUCUACUAUGUGCCAAAUAUUGUGGUAGAUGCUUAAUAAUAUUUACACUGUAAAUUGAAUCUAUCACACUUCCUUAAUGCCAAAUUCCCAUUCUAGAUUUCCCAUUUUUAUGUUUAAAAUGUUUAAGUAUUUGGCUUUCUGCAUAAUGUCACUUAAUAGCUUUAUAUGCACUAAGUUAUAUCACUCCUCAUUUUAUUUACAAGAACAAUUUAUGGGCAAACAGAACUAAGUAGCAAGCAACCAAGCUUAUCACCAGAUUCAAUUUGCCUUGGUAUUCUGUCCUCUAUUCUUCUGUUUUUCUUUACAGAUUCACUUUCCACCUAUUGUUUGAUGGCUCCGCAAACAACAUUAUCUUCAGCUCAAACCUUUUUCCUAAACUCCAGAUCACACACCAAUCACACACCAGUCAUCUCUAGAGUCACUACUACUGCUUGAGGAGUCUGUUGACAUAACCUCUACAUCAUCUUCAUUUUCUUUGUUAUGUCCUGGAGGUUCCAACAAAAAGUCAUUACUGUGAUUUGGUGGUAACAUAUUCAUUGCUAUGUCAUUUGACUGCCAUGGAUACUGUGGGGCAAGGACAUCUGGAGAAAAGAAAGAAGCACAUAUGAGAACAUCUUUACUAAAAAUUAAUUUACUUCUUAGUUAUACUUUCCUUCAUGCAAAUAAUCUGAAGUAAAAUUUCUUAAAAGGCUAGAAAUCAAAAUAUACAUUUGGCCAAUAAUCAAAAAAUGUGAUGUUUUAGUAACGUGAUGUUUAGACUCUGGUUUAUUUUUUUUAAAUCAUACUUUCCUAUAGUCACUAUUCAAGAUGUUCAUAAUUUCAAAUCGAAUGUCUCAUGUCUAUACAUAUUUUAUGCACAUAUAUAAUAAGUCAUAUAUAGUACUUUCUAUAUAUUCUCUCUAUAUAUAAGUAGCUAAUGUAAACUAUACUGUGUAUUCCAGUUUAAACUGCCUCUUAAGCUUCAAUUCCACUCUUCUCCCUGGACCCUGAAAACACUUCUCCUUUGCCAGCAGCCACAAUGUUAAGCUCUGUCAGUAGAGCGCACUGCAAGGACUCUACAGGAGGAACAGGCUUCCCUUCCGGGAUCCUGCGUUUCCCUCCUGUGGUGUCUGGUGGGUGUGUAGGACAUCAGUGGCAUCCCAGUUGGAUGACUUCCCAGCAAGUCUCCCUUGGACCCUAGUGGAUAAUUUCCUACUUGCCGGCUCUGGCCUGUGACACCUCAUCUAACUUCUCUGCCAUCCAACAGGCCAGAGCUACACCUUUUCCACUCCGGGCUGAAUAUCAGCCUUGGGAUGGGGGGGGGGGGGAGCCUCGUCUCAGUCGGUCCCUUCCUUGGCUAUCUGCCUCAUCCUACAUGCAGUAGCUGCCCCCUGCAUCUGUUAUUACUGCAUUUAGAAAAUAUACUUCUCUUUACUGUCUAGUAGUUAGUACCUGGUUACUACUCAGUAGCUCUUUACAUUUUCCUUCAUAUUUGCUGGUGUGGUUUCUGCCUCCUGCCUGGACCUGACUGGCAUAUUAUGACACAGUAAAACCACAAUGAGAAAAAUGAGGAGAUACCAAGGGAAACUAAUGCACAGUGACUUCCCAGUUUGUACUUUAGAUAGUUAACAACAGCGAUGUUUAUAAAAUUAUUUUUAAUAACACAGGGACAGCCUUACAAUGAAAUGUUAAGCAUAAAAAAGCAUUAUCUACAGUAUGUUUUUAGCGAUGUAAAAAAUACACGAAAAAACAUGAAAUAUGUAAAAUAUUAAAACUGCUCAAAAAAGAGCAAUUUUCCCCUUUUUUAUGCCUUUUAAAAAACUUUUAAUAUGUUCUACCAGAUCAAAACAAAACAAGUCACCUACAAAAGGUAAAAGGGGAACAUAAAAUAAACAUAAGAACAGUACAAACCUAUAUGCAAAAUCUGAGGAAGGCUGAAGUUCAGAAUGAACUGAGUCUCACAAAAAGUGAUACUCUAUUUAGGUAUUAAAACGCCCAUAAAAAGCUUUGUUAGUCACUUUGUUAAUCUGGGGUUUUUUCCAAGUGUGCUCACUUGGUAUUCUUUAAACUGAACAUACAUACAUCUUAUCCUGUUUAUAAAAUAUACUUCAUUUUAAAAAGCUAUGUUUGGAGCUUAGUUAAUGAGGCCUAAUUCCUGAGGAAAAUGGCACAUAAAAUCAGUUUAUUCUGAUUUCAUAGCCUCCAUCUAGAACAGUCUUUAAACUAGAGGAAGCAGAGAGGAUAAACUGGUAGAGAACCUAGCAACUAAAAUGAGUUGGGUCCAGACCCUCAAACUUGUUCAGAUCUCUGUCUUCCUCAUCAUUUCUGAAAAAAACCUUUGUUUGAAAGCAUUAUUCUGAUUAACGUUACCUGGCAAUCUGCCUGCUGCAAGUGCGUCCCCUGGUAGAUGACCGUUCACUCCAUUAGUGGAAGGGUUGUUCAUCUGGCCCAAUAAUCCACUUCUCAUCUCCAAAUCAGUUGGGUAUGGUCUCCGUGGGUCCCCUAAAAAAUAAGACUGCUUUUAAUUCAGUCACAUAUGAAAAUAAGCUUUGAUACCUUCUCUGAAAUAUUGAUUUUCCUUGGUUCGCUUUGAAGAACUCAAGCCACAUUUUCAAUUUUGGAAUAUAAAGGUCAUCUUAUCAAUUGUUAUUAAGACAUAAUAUAUUAAAAUUUUAAAUACAUGUAUUUUUAUUUCUUCUCUAGAUCUUCACAAUAAUACACUAUUCUCUAUAUGAAAAGAAGUCUCUCAUUUAAGCAAACAUUCCAAAUGACAAAGAAAAGUAUAAUCUUGAGUCUUCUAAAUUAAAACCUUUUCCUAACCAACCUCUUUGAUCACGUAAUUUAAAGACUAAUUCCUGGGGAUUUCCCUGGCGGUCCAGUGGCUAAGACUCCGCGCUUCCACUGCAGGGGGCGCGGGUUCCAUCCCUGGUCCAGGAACUAAGGUCCCACACGCCGCAUGCUGCGGGGAGGUUGGAAGGAAAGCUAAUUCCUGUAACAUUCCAGUGGAGUAUCAGGAGCCAAUAACAUUCAUUUCCAAUCAUGAAAGCACACUUUUUAGUUCUGGGUUGAUGAAAACUUGGCCAGAUUUGGACCAAUUUUUUGGUAAUAUUUUCUCACCAACUCCAGAUUAUUUAUCCUCCAAAACCGUAGCUACCCUUAGUGUUUCAGGUAUGGCAAAAUACCACCGUCAGGACUGACUAGAGCUGAGAUAACUACCUCCCAUUCCUCCCAAAAGGCUGCUGCUCUACCUGACGUCUCUGCUGUCAGUAUAUGUAGCAAGGGACUUCCCUGAUGGCGCAGUAGAUAAGACUCUGCGCUCCCAAUGCAGGGGGCCGGGGUUCAAUCCCUGGUCGGGGAACUAGAUCCCACAUGCCACACAGCAACUAAGAGUUGGCAUGCCGCAACUAAGGAGACCGCCUGCAGUGACUAGGGAGCCCACGUGUCGCAACUAAGACCUGAUGCAACCAAAUAAAUAAAAGUUAAAAAAUAUAUAUAUAUAUGUGGCAGUUUAUUUCUCUGCUAUUUCUAAUUACUCCAGCUCUCUGCAGUCCUGUGUGUCUGCUGCUGGGUGUCCAGUGCUUCAUCUUUAUCCCCUAAGAGUCGGGACUGUCUCUUUCUCAGGCUGGAACCCUUGUGGAAAUCCUAAUGGCUCAAAAAAGUUAGCUUCUGGCCAGCCUGCGUUUUACAGGUAUAUAAAUCUAUAGCUUUAGAAUCAUCACAUAUUAUACUUUUAAAAUUUAUUAAUUACUUAUUUUUUUUUAAAAAAGGAAAGAAACACAGUUUCCAGUGGCAAGAGCUUUGUAGAAAACCAAACUGAUAAAACCCCAUGGCCUAUAUUAUCACUUAUAAGACACUAAAGAUGUGAAAAUAUGAAACAUGUUUCUAAGGAUAAAUACAUGCCAUAUUUAAAUCUUUUCUUCCUAUUUUUGUGUACAGUCACCUAAGAAUUUUCAAAACCACAUGUAUCUAGUAAAAAGAGAAUUACUUUUACCUGGGACCCAGGUCAGUGGGGCACACACAGCAUUACUUGCACUAAUCCUAUGUGCAUACUUAAUUAUUUCUUCAGAGGAGAUAGCACCUGAGAGAGUCAAGAGGAUAGUGUUAACAUUUCAGUCUAGUAAACAUACAAGUUUGUCAGUGCAUACAUCACAGAUACACUUCAUACUUAAAAUAUAUACAUUAGAUUAAAAAAGUACACUAGUAAAUAAUAUGUAUAGCACAACCUGGUUUUUAUUUUAGAAUAUAUGUAUUUGUAUUGUUCUUGUUACGUAUGUAUUACAGAUCUAAGAAAAAUCUGGAAGAACACACAUCAAACAUUUAACAGCAGUUAAUCUAAAAUAGGACAAGAGGCGAGUUAGAUGUAAAUCAUACCUACAAAUCAUUAAAAGUAACCAAAGUCUUCAUUAUAAUUCUGACUUUUAGUAUGCAAUCUAAAAGAUCCACAAUGGAAGCCUUUGAAAGAGAGAAGCAGGACAGGACGAGAAGCCAUGCUGAGCCUCUCGAAGCACCACUACAUGUGCACACAUCCCAAAGCGUUAUCUAGUUCUGACUUCACAGUCUUUCAAGAUCCACCUCAAAUCCCAUUUGCUUCCAGCCCAUGUUCUCCUCUCCCAACAAUUUAAAAAACCCACUGUCUUUAUUGCACGUUUGGGUAAUAGCCGUAACUUCUAUUAUUGCUUUUUAUAACCUGGAAAAGGAUGUGACACCUCCCUAGCAAUGCCCAGCAUAGUGCUAUAUAGCAGACACUUUAUAAGAAAAUUUAUUGGAAACUUUUCAACAGCAGCAAAUGAUUACCAAUAAUCCUCUCAUCAGUUUCUUGAAACCAAAAUUUGGAUUUUUCAGAAAGUCAUUCAGUGUUCCCACAGUACUAACCUUUUCUUGCUUUUUCUAUUGACUUGAGUUUUUCUUUUGCUUGGUAAACAGCUGUUGCCUAAUUUAAACAACAUUAAAAAAAGAAAUAUGGAUUAUUCAAAACUAUACCAAGCCCAGUUUUUGGCUAAAUUCACAAAAUCAUUUAUCCCAUAGAAACAAUAUGUAAAAUUUGGAAAUCCCCACAAUUUAUUUGUAAUAUUCUGAACCACCACUUGGGUAUCAUUUGUAUCAGUUACAGUCAAGAAAAAAAGAAACAUUUAUGAGUCAAUCUCCAUACACAUUAGUUGUUAGAAACAAAAUGUAAAUUGGAUUGUUCACUACCAUUUUUUCUUUAUGUCAUCUAUCAUAAACAGGCAGAAAACAGACCACGUACUACUCCCAAAGCAUCCUAUUCUUAUAUCUAGUUCAAGGAUAAAAUACCAAAAAAAUUUUUUUUCUAGUUUACAAGAUAAAUUCUUGGAUUGAUAGUCUCAUUCAUUUAUACAUUACCAUUACCUCCAUGCUUAAUGACUAUUAUAAUGAACUCUUCCACCCACCCUCCCCUGGGCAAAGGCAAACUAAAGGGUAAAAUGAAGCUAACCUAGUAUAUGCAUCCUCCACCGUAACACAGCAUUUAAGAGUAUGGAGUCAGAGAGAUCUAGGUUUAUGUUCCAUCUCUCAACUUUUACCUCUUGGGCAAGGUAGGUAUUCAUUUAAAAUUAUGGUUUUGUCUGUAAAAAUAGAAUAACGGUACUGACCUCAUAUAACUGUGAUGAAGAUUGAGAUAAUACACAUGAAGUGCAAAGUACAGGGCCUGGUGCACUAGUACUUAAUAACUGUUAGUUGCCACUAUCUAAAUCAUAAAAUUUAGUCUUUUUAUAGUCCUUGUGUUCACUGUCUUUUGGAAAUCUAAUCUAGAGAGGAGCCAGCAAUGUCUGGUCCAUAUGAGAAUCAAACUCAGGUCUUCCUGCAAUACCACCACAUAACAAUGACAUUAGUUAGUAUUUAGUGAAAUAACUGAGCAAAUAAUAACAAAUAAAUUGUCUCUUUGAAAUAGUAGCCAAGAACAAGAAAGGAAAAACUAGAGUCCUUAACAUAUAUCUAUAUCUAUUUACAUAUAAAUCCCAUCUAGUUUAGGAUGGAAGACUAAAUAAAUGUAAAUUUUAAUCAAUAUAUAAAAUUGGUAUAUACUUUUACUGAUUUCAAAAAUUAUUUCUAAAACUGAAGUAGAGAUUUAGACUAUUAACAAAUGAAAACUUAGGACAGGAUAAAAGUAAAACUUCCCAUUUCUAUUAAUUCAAACUUGUGAAAUCUUCAAAUAAUGAAAAUAUGGCUCAAAAGUAAUGCAGACUAUCGGAAAACAAUAAUUAAAAAGGGAGGGACUUCCCGGUGGUCCAGUGGUAAAGAAUCCGCCUUCUUCUUGGUCAGGGAACUGAGAUCCCACAUCUCAGUUGCCGCGGGGCAACUAAGCCCACGUGCCGCAACUACUGAGCUCGUGCGCCUCAAUGAGAGAGCCCUCGUGCUGCAACUACAGAGCCCACUCACUCUCGAGCCCACAUGCCACAACUAGAGAGAAGCCCGCGUGCCACAAUGAAAAGAUCCUGCGUGCCGCAACUAAGACAAGACGCAGCCAAAUAAAUAAAUAAAAUAAACGAAUAAAAUAAAUAAACAUUAAAAAAAAAAGGGAAUGACAUGGUCUUUCAUCUAACCAAAGUGACAAGGGGUCACUUUUAGACUUGGAAAUUCAAGUUUUCUACCACUUCAAAAUUGUAAUAGAUUUAUUUUUCAGAAAUAGAGUAAAUAGUAUCCUUUUUUACAUUAAGAAACAGCCUCUAUCAACUUACCAGUAUCUGUUCCGCUUCCUUUAGCUGUUUUUGUAGUUGCUGAAUAUCACUGUCUCUUUUUUCUACUUCUUUUUCUAAAACUUGCAUUUCAUGAUGGAUUUUUCCCUGAUUAAGUGCCAAUUUCAUUAGUUCUUGAAAUUCCCCAUCUCUAUGAAUUAACAACUCCAGGACCUGUCAGAUAAUAGGUGAUUAAAGCAGACUACAGAAUACUGAAGAACUACAUUCCAGUGAAACAAAGAAUCCACAUGUGAAUUGGCUAGUCCAUAAAGUCUUAACACCUUCAAAGUACUGUUUACUAAUCAUUGUUAAAAAUAGCCUACCUAUGAUUAUUUUAGAAGAGAUUAAUAUCAAGGUUUUCUGCUUUUUCUAAUUAUAUGCUAUUCUUUCACACAAAAUAAAACAAACCUUUCAGAACUAGCAAUAUGCCAAAAUGAGCAGGUUUAUUCAUUUCUCAGGGAAGGUAAAAUUUGAGAUGAUUUUAUUAGUUGACACCAGGAACUGAACAGACAUUUCUCCAAACAUAUACAAGCGGCCAAAAAUACAUGAGAAGGUAUUCAACUUCACUAAUCACCAGGGAAGUGCAAAUCAACACAACUGGAUAUGACCCUGCACCAGCUAGAACAGCUAUAAUCAGAAGGACAAAAGAUAACAAAUGUUGGUGAGAAUGUGGAGACAAAGGGAACCCUUAGAAUCUGAAUUGGUGCAACUACUGUGGAAAACAUUCCAUUAAGUGUGGAGGUUACUUAAAAAAUUAAAAUUAGAACUACCAUAUGAUCCAGCAAUUCUACUUCUGAGUAUUUAUCCAAAGGAAAUGAGAUCACUAUUUUCGAAAAGAUAUCUGCACUCGUAUGUUCACUGUAGCAUUAUUCACAAUAGCCAAGACAAGGAAGUAAUCUAAAUGUCCAUGAAUGGAGGAAUGGAUAAAGAAAACGUGAUGUAAAUCUAUACACAUGCACACACACACAAAGGAAUAUCAUUCAGCCACAAAAAAAGAAGGAAAUCUUGGCAUCUGGGAUAACAUGGAUGGACCUUAAGAACAUUGCAUUAAAGGAAAUAAGUCAGACAGAAAAAGACAAACACCGUAUGAUCUCAGUUAUAUGUGGAAUGUAAAAAGAGCCAAACACAUAGAAAAAGAGCUCAGAUUGGUGGCUGCCAGGGGGAAGGCGGCAAAAUGGGUAAAGGUGGUCAAAAGGUACAAACUCCAGGCUAUAAGAUAAAUAAGUUCUGGAAAUAUAACGUACACCAUGGUGACUAUAAUUAAGAAUACAGUACUGUAAAUUUGAAAAUAGCUACGAGAAUAAAUCUCAGCAACUUCAAAAAGUUCUUAAAAAAUGUGCAGGAGCUUCCCUGGUGGCGCAAUGGUUGAGAGUCUGCCUGCCGAUGCAGGGGACACGGGUUCGUGCCCCGGUCUGGGAAGAUCCCACAUGCCGCGGAGCGGCUGGGCCCGUGAGCCAUGGCCGCUGAGCCUGCGCGUCCAGAGCCUGUGCUCCACAAUGGGAGAGGCCACAACAGUGGGAGGCCCGCAAAAAAAAAAAAAAAAAAUGUGCAGAGGAACUGAACAGACGUUUUUCCAAAGACAUACAAAUGGUCAACAGGUACAUGAAAAGGUGCCACUUUCCCUGCAAUUUUCUUAGAAGUUUUUAUCAUAAGAAGAGAAAGGACUUCCCUGGUGGUACAGUGGUUAAGAAUCCGCCUGCCAAUGCAGGGGACACAGGUUCGAGCCCUGCUCUGGGAAGAUCCCAUAUGCUGCAGAGCAACUAAGCCCGUGUGCCACAACUAAUGAAGCCCAUGUGCUCCACAACAAGAAAAGGCUGCGCACCGCAACAAAGAGUAACCCCUGCUCACUACAACUAGAGAAAGACCAUGUGCAGCAACAAAAACCCAAUGCAGCCCAAAAUAAAUAAAUAAAUAGAUAGAUAGAUAAAUAAAUAAAAUUUGUUUAAGGAAAAAAAAAAUAAAGAAAAGAAAACUGGGCACUUCCCUGGUGGUCCAGUGGUUAAAACUCCACACUUCCACUGCAGGAGGCAUGGGUUCCAUCCCUGCUUGGGGAACUAAGAUCCCACAUGCCGCGUGGUAUGGCAAAAAAACAAACAAACAAACAAACUUAACCAUGUGAGGUGAUGGAUGUUAACUAAACUUACUGUGGUAAUCAUUUUGCAUUAUGUACCUAUAUCAAAUUGUUAUGAUAUACAUCUUAAACUAAUACAAUAUUACAUGUCGGGCUUCCCUGGUGGCACAGUGGUUGAGAGUCCACCUGCCGAUGCAGGGGACACGGGUUCGUGCCCCGGUCCAGGAAGAUCCCACAUACCGCGGAGCGGCUGUGCCUGUGAGCCAUGGCCGCUGAGCCUGCGCAUCCGGAGCCUAUUGCUCCGCAACGGGAGAGGCCACAACAGUGAGAGGCCCGCGUACCGCAAAAAAACAAAAAAAACACACAAAAAAACAAUAUUACAUGUCAAUUAUAC
Molecule: RNA transcript, 11023 nt
Organism: Globicephala melas (long-finned pilot whale)
Lineage: Eukaryota; Metazoa; Chordata; Mammalia; Artiodactyla; Delphinidae
Gene: NUDT15
Gene name: nudix hydrolase 15
Source: RefSeq, a predicted model, not a curated record